RNAcentral lists this ribosomal RNA (491 nucleotides) under uncultured bacterium. Its description in RNAcentral is "partial 16S ribosomal RNA". It matches the Rfam family "Bacterial small subunit ribosomal RNA", at positions 29 to 506 of the family's 1533-position model. The record is from RNAcentral.
AGUGAACGCUGGCGGUAGGCCUAACACAUGCAAGUCGAACGGCAGCACAGUAAGAGCUUGCUCUUACGGGUGGCGAGUGGCGGACGGGUGAGGAAUACAUCGGAAUCUACUUUUUCGUGGGGGAUAACGUAGGGAAACUUACGCUAAUACCGCAUACGACCUACGGGUGAAAGCAGGGGAUCUUCGGACCUUGCGCGAUUGAAUGAGCCGAUGUCGGAUUAGCUAGUUGGCGGGGUAAAGGCCCACCAAGGCGACGAUCCGUAGCUGGUCUGAGAGGAUGAUCAGCCACACUGGAACUGAGACACGGUCCAGACUCCUACGGGAGGCAGCAGGGGGGAAUAUUGGACAAUGGGCGCAAGCCUGAUCCAGCCAUACCGCGUGGGUGAAGAAGGCCUUCGGGUUGUAAAGCCCUUUUGUUGGGAAAGAAAAGCAGCAGGUUAAGACCCCGCUGUUCUGACGGUACCCAAAGAAGAAGCACCGGCUAACUUCGU